CCUGGGUGGGAAUAACCCAAAAAAAAAGAAACAAGAAAAGAACAACAAGCCUCAAGCUUUAAGUCCGCAAAAAUAUGCGAUUGGACAGUGUGGCAGGCAGCAGCUACUGAUCCAAUGAUACGCACCUAGCUCCGUGAGGAAGCGCAGACUGGAGAGAAUGGAGAAGAGGAGAGGACCGACCUGUGCAGGGAAACACACACACACACACACACACACACACACACACACAUUAAAGUGCACACCAUUACAGUAGGCACACUGGUGCAUAAACACACAUGGCUCCACACAUUUACACACACACCUGUGGAAAGUCAUCACACAAACACACAUGCACAAAUGAAACACCUGGGAAAGAAAGGAUGCAUGCUCACACUAACCUGUAGCAAACACAUGCCCAGACACAUUUGCACACACACACACACACACACACACACACACUUUAACACAAAUGGUGCCCGAGUGCACAGUGACCUCUUGAGGACCAUAACAGGAGAUUCUGUCUCUAUUCAGCUCUGCCUGCGAGGAGCCUUCUCCCUUAGGCACUGUGUGUGUGCGUGUGUGUGUGUGUGUGUGUGAGUGUGUGUGUGAGUAUGGUAAUGCAGUGGGUCUGCAGUCGCUACUAACUGUGUUUGGGAACACUCCUCACGUCAGCACAGCCUGCCGCAGCAGCAUUCAGAACUUUCUAUUCCUCUCCUCAACAAUCUUCCAUCCACCCAUCCAUCUCUUUGUCUGCCUGUCUGACUCUGUGUCUGCUCGUGUGCUUGUUUGCUUAUUCCUCUGUGGUGCCCUCUGCUCACGUCUCCUGAGUCCUCCGUACCUCCCCUUUCCCCCCCUUUUUUAAAAGCAGGUUGUCUUUGUAUCUUUUUUUAAUUCGAAAAGAAAAAAAAAACCAAGCAGGUCAGUUUGUGGAAAGGAUUUAUUUGUAUAGAUGGGGUUUGAGAGGUGAUUUGAAAGGAUGACAUUGACUUAUAGUCUAAGCUUUUCAAAGCCAUAGGGCCUUUCACUCAUUCUUUUUAACCGAGACUGCCAAAAAAAGACACUGCGCGAGUAUCCGAGGCUGUGCUCAGACUCAUAUCGGAUUAAAAGGUUAGAGUUGUAGCUAGAGGUUGGGCCCGUACAACCCGAAGAAGUUAUCAAUAAAAUCCAAGGAAUAACUCUAAAACUGCCACACCAUGAAUGUAAGGGCGUAAAAAUAAGCUACAGCUAUUUGCGCUAUCUGGAGACGUAUCACAUCUCCUCAGUCGAGAGGGAUAAAUAAGGUGUCACAGGACUUGAGACAAACAGCUCAGAAAGCAUGCUUGAUUCUCUGUCGUGAAUUUUGUUGGAAAUAUUACCCAGCUGAAGUAAACAUGAUGAUUUGGGAGAGCUUGGAUAAAAUACGAUGCCAAAAGUCUAUUAUCUGGAUAAAGGACCGAAACAGAGCGCUCGGUUUGACUUGAAAUUGAUUCAUGGGCAAUAACAAGGUGCUAGCAACAAAACAAUACUUCAGUUUUGUCAGAGUAUAGAAUAUUUUACGGAGAGUUUAUUUUCUUGUUGCAAUGUUUACUAAUGUGAGCAGCUGACAGGACGUGAACUUGGACUCACGUCGUUUACUAGCAAGCUGUCAGAUCUAAACAGAGAUCUGAAUCUGUUAGGACGGGGAGCCCUCGUACUUGGACGUUAGGACUGGAGGGGAUAUAGUGUCCCCUGUGUUUGUCAUCACUCUUUUCACUGAGGAAAGAAUAAAGACAAAAGCAUGAGACAUCCCUUGUCACUGAUGUGCAACUUGCAAAAUUAAUGUGAUUCAUUUGCAAAAAGAAUAUAUGUCUACAAAUGUAAUAAAGUCUAUUUAGAUUUGAUAAUAGCCUUUAUAUCAGGAUAAUCUAUCCAUACCUAAUUAACCUAAUUGCGACAAAGCUUAAUGAGGCCCAUUCUGUUCACAGAGUCCGUGUAGGCAGGAGGUUGAGAUGGAUGGAUGGAUCAACAAAACACCAACCAGGACUGCUGUUUGCUUUCCGUUUCCCACUGACAGUCGACGUUUAGAUGGUUCUGGUAAUCCAUGGUUCCUGACCGAGGAAUUUAACUCUUCACACAUCCCAACCUAAACAAGAUGGACAAGUGGUCGUUCCUCCUGCACAUGGGCAGUGCCGCUCUGCAGUUGCCUCUGAACAGAUACAGUGAUCCACAGCAGUACCAGGACACACCUCUCAUUUCCACCGUCACACCAGUCCUUAUUCAUCGUAAAGCACUCUCCCUCUCUCCUCAGAGUCCUCUACGUUGUCAGAUCGGCAUAUAGAAGAAGUGUCACCGGUUGAAUGGCGCCGUCCAGGAUUUAGCCAAGUUCAAUAAAUCAAAUUAUAUUACAGUUAUCCUGUUGGAAACUGAUGCUGCGCAGAGGUCAUCCACUUUAUUUCCAACAUCUGUACAAUGGCUUGCAGGAUGCUGGUUCAGCUGGUGCCCAUCUUCACCAUCUUUCCUUGAUGUUUACAUCUGAAAACCUCGACCUGGCUAGCUAGCAGAAGUCAGCAGAGGGAAAGUUUACAGACUGGUGUGUUGAUUUUCUCAUCCCAGUGAGUGACUCACAGCCACAUGCCUCCACUGUCCAAAGCUAACCACAAAAAGCACCACCAAGACUUGCAAAAUAGACAUAAGAGCCUAAAUUUAGGCUCAAAUUUAGUGGAGCUGACAGAGAGGGGACUGGAAUCAUCCUCAGUAUAUUCUGUAAGUUUUGCAACACUAUGAGCAUUGUCUACUGAGAAACUGAUACUGGCACCACGGCUAGUGUUUGAUUCAAGUUAUUUUAACAUCUGCAAGGCAAAAUCAUGAAUACAAGAGGACGUUUGUAGUGUUGUAAUCCCAGUAGAACCUCUUCAAAACUGUGAAAAACAGAGAAAAGCAGAAAUCGCUGGAAAUGGUGUUAUACUGCAUCUGACAAAUGAUGAAAAAUAAAUGGCUGGCUGAGACUGAGAAUUCACAGUUACAGAAAUGCCUUUUCUCCUGUCAUUUGAUUACUUAAACCUGUUGCGUAUCUCAUAAAAAUGUUGCUCUUAAACCACAUUUUAAAUCUGUUUUUAAUGCAUAUGGCUCAUUACUUUUCUUACUGCUGUUUACUGUGCAGGGAAAUGCAAACAGACACACACAAACAGAUGAACCCAAUUUACACAUUGCAGUUUUUCUCAACUGCUAAGACAUGCUUAAUGAAACUGUGACCCACUUGAUCCUCAUCAUCACCUUCUCAGCACAGCAGAGGUCUUCUCUCAUGAAUGUGUUAACAUGGGUGCAUUGGUUUCAUACAUUUUUCAAACCCUUUUUCAAAACAGUUAACACAGAUCUCAUGGAAUGACCCCAAACUCUAUUGGAUUAACCGUGUUAAACAGUUAAACAAAAGCUGAUAGAAAUUACUCCCAUAAUUACGACUCUCUGAUGCACCUGUGUGAAACCCCUUUACACAGCUCUUCAACCCGCAGUUAGUUUGUAUCCACCUACAAAAGAUGCCACCUGUGUUGCUAUUUGCAAGCAUGGAUCAAAGAGGCCAAAGGCACAUAAGCAAAGGAAGAAGCCGUGGCAUAGGGGAGCCAAGUAUUCAGCAUUUCUGAAUUAGAAAAAUAUGGAAACAAGACUAGGCUGUUGUGGUCCAGCAAAAAAGUAUGACACGGGAAAAUCUGAUCUAGUACUGUAAGAAAAAUGUUCCUCAGGAUUUCAGAGCUUGGAUGCCAUUCUUUAUUGGUUCUGUGGUGAAGAAAGAAGGCAGUAGUAAAUAAGCUGUACCAUAAUAAAUGUCCAAAUUUGUGUAGUCUAGGUGCUUACUGUAGGUCUUACAAUUAAUGGGCACGCAAAGACCUGCAUGCAAGAAUAAAGUGAUGACAGUAUUUCUACAAGAUAUCUCAAAAAGUGCAGAUGCAGAGUGCAGCAGGGUUAGUUUUAUCUACUAAAAUCAUUUUCAGAGAAAGAAAACAAUUCAUGCUGUGAUAUGCCUGCUUGCCUUUUUUUGGCACAUACUAUAACUAUGUAAAGUAUCAACGA
Molecule: long non-coding RNA, 4002 nt
Organism: Epinephelus fuscoguttatus (brown-marbled grouper)
Lineage: Eukaryota; Metazoa; Chordata; Actinopteri; Perciformes; Serranidae
Exons: 3
Source: RefSeq, a predicted model, not a curated record